RNAcentral lists this long non-coding RNA (206 nucleotides) under Gossypium barbadense (sea-island cotton). RNAcentral's name for it is "long non-coding RNA (GBAR_LNC002359)". The record is from RNAcentral. Lineage: Eukaryota; Viridiplantae; Streptophyta; Magnoliopsida; Malvales; Malvaceae.
AGGCUCACAAGUCAGGCAGUUACAUGGCCUAACACAUGGCCUGGCACACGGGUGGGUGUCUUGGCCGUAUGACCCAACUUAGAGAGUUACACGGGUGAGGACACGAGCUGAGACACGACCGUGUGUCCCUAUUUUGAUGGUUACACGACUUGAGACAUGGGUGUGUGUCCUAGUUGUGCAAGUCACAUGGUUGUGUGACCUCUGCA